RNAcentral lists this ribosomal RNA (443 nucleotides) under uncultured bacterium. RNAcentral describes it as "partial 16S ribosomal RNA". It matches the Rfam family "Bacterial small subunit ribosomal RNA", at positions 338 to 795 of the family's 1533-position model. The record is from RNAcentral.
CCUACGGGUGGCAGCGGUGGGGAAUAUUGGGCAAUGGGCGCAAGCCUGACCCAGCAACGCCGCGUGAAGGAAGAAGGCUUUCGUGUUGUAGACUUCUUUUCUCAGGUACGAAGCAAGUGCCGGUACCUGAGGAAUAAGCCACGGCUAACUACGUGCCAGCAGCCGCGGUAAUACGUAGGUGGCAAGCGUUCUCCGGAUUUACUGGGUGUAAAGGACGUCUAGGCGGGGACGCAAGUCAGGUGUGAAAACCAUGGGCUCAAACUGUGGCCUGCAUUUGAGACUGUGUGUCUUGAGUACUGGAGAGGCAGGCGGAAUGCCUAGUGUAGCGGUGAAAUGCGUAGAUAUUAGGAGGAAGGCAAGUGGCGAAGGCGGUCUGAUGGACAGCAACUGACGCUGAGGCGCGAAAGCGUGGGGAGCGAACAGGAUUAGAUACCCUUGUAGUC